GGGGAUGUAGCUCAGCUGGGAGAGCGUCGCGUUCGCAAUGCGAAGGUCAGGGGUUCGAUCCCCCUCAUCUCCACCA
RNAcentral lists this transfer RNA (76 nucleotides) under Burkholderiales bacterium. Its description in RNAcentral is "tRNA-Ala". It matches the Rfam family "tRNA". From Rfam's summary of the family: Transfer RNA (tRNA) molecules are approximately 80 nucleotides in length. Their secondary structure includes four short double-helical elements and three loops (D, anti-codon, and T loops). Lineage: Bacteria; Pseudomonadati; Pseudomonadota; Betaproteobacteria; Burkholderiales. The record is from RNAcentral. RNAcentral also lists the same sequence under 7 other names.